This 255-nucleotide ribosomal RNA is filed under the name Cladonia rei. RNAcentral describes it as "partial 18S ribosomal RNA". Lineage: Eukaryota; Fungi; Ascomycota; Lecanoromycetes; Lecanorales; Cladoniaceae. The record is from RNAcentral.
UUCGUAGGUGAGGUUUGCUUGCCGAAACCCUUAGCCAGCGACUCUAAAGAAAUUAGCUAUAAGUCGCCCCUUCGGGGGCUGGCGACGCCAUCAAUCUGUAUCUGGAAGUGCCCCCUACCAAGGGAGUACCACCAGCAGCUCGUUGCAUUCGAGUUCACAGGUCAAACGAUAGCGGCCACUUUGGUGGUUGAGAUAUGAUCGGCCUCCAGCGUCACCUAGCUGGGGAAAUUCGCGGAACCUGCGGAAGGAUCAUUA